RNAcentral lists this transfer RNA (73 nucleotides) under Stegodyphus mimosarum. It matches the Rfam family "tRNA". From Rfam's summary of the family: Transfer RNA (tRNA) molecules are approximately 80 nucleotides in length. Their secondary structure includes four short double-helical elements and three loops (D, anti-codon, and T loops). Lineage: Eukaryota; Metazoa; Arthropoda; Arachnida; Araneae; Eresidae. The record is from Rfam by way of RNAcentral.
GCCUCCGUGAUGUAGUGGCCAGCACACUCGACGCUUAACCCAGAGGUCCGUGGUUCGAUUCCUUGCGAGGGCA